AGUGAACGCUGGCGGUAGGCCUAACACAUGCAAGUCGAACGGCAGCACAGUAAGAGCUUGCUCUUACGGGUGGCGAGUGGCGGACGGGUGAGGAAUACAUCGGAAUCUACUUUUUCGUGGGGGAUAACGUAGGGAAACUUACGCUAAUACCGCAUACGACCUACGGGUGAAAGCAGGGGAUAUUCGGACCUUGCGCGAUUGAAUGAGCCGAUGUCGGAUUAGCUAGUUGGCGGGGUAAAGGCCCACCAAGGCGACGAUCCGUAGCUGGUCUGAGAGGAUGAUCAGCCACACUGGAACUGAGACACGGUCCAGACGCCUACGGGAGGCAGCAGUGUGGAAUAUUGGACAAUGGGCGCAAGCCUGAUCCAGCCAUACCGCGUGGGUGAAGAAGGCCUUCGGGUUGUAAAGCCCUCUUGUUGGGAAAGAAAAGCAGCAGGUUAAUACCCCGCUGUUCUGACGGUACCCAAAGAAUAAGCACCGGCUAACUUCGUG
Molecule: ribosomal RNA, 492 nt
Filed under: uncultured bacterium
Lineage: Bacteria
Description: partial 16S ribosomal RNA
Rfam family: Bacterial small subunit ribosomal RNA
Source: RNAcentral